CAGGUCGACUCUAGAGGAUCCCACGAGCAGGUAAAGACACGCAAAGAGAAAGAGGACUUGGGGUUGUCAGGGGCUGGGUGAGGAGGGAGAGGAGUGCAUG
This 100-nucleotide microRNA precursor is filed under the name Vicugna pacos (alpaca). Its description in RNAcentral is "miRNA (ENSVPAG00000017294.1)". Lineage: Eukaryota; Metazoa; Chordata; Mammalia; Artiodactyla; Camelidae. The record is from RNAcentral.